GCUGUACAACUAAUUAAUCCAUACAACAACUAACCAAACCAUCAGUAUCUUUACAUGUAGCAGUCAAUAGACAUCUCCUUAUUAAAGUUCUUUCAUAAUGUAAGAUUCUAAAUUCAAAUACAUUAUAUAUUAUUUUUAAGUUA
Molecule: long non-coding RNA, 143 nt
Organism: Melitaea cinxia (Glanville fritillary)
Lineage: Eukaryota; Metazoa; Arthropoda; Insecta; Lepidoptera; Nymphalidae
Exons: 2
Source: RefSeq, a predicted model, not a curated record